Molecule: ribosomal RNA, 253 nt
Filed under: uncultured bacterium
Lineage: Bacteria
Description: partial 16S ribosomal RNA
Rfam family: Bacterial small subunit ribosomal RNA
Source: RNAcentral
UACGAAGGGGGCUAGCGUUGCUCGGAAUCACUGGGCGUAAAGGAUGCGUAGGCGGGUCUUUAAGUCAGGGGUGAAAUCCUGGAGCUCAACUCCAGAACUGCCUUUGAUACUGAGGAUCUUGAGUUCGGGGGAGGUGAGUGGAACUGCGAGUGUAGAGGUGAAAUUCGUAGAUAUUCGCAAGAACACCAGUGGCGAAGGCGGCUCACUGGCCCGAUACUGACGCUGAGGCACGAAAGCGUGGGGAGCAAACAGG